This is a small nuclear RNA of Perognathus longimembris pacificus (Pacific pocket mouse), 104 nucleotides long. NCBI's taxonomy places the organism in Eukaryota, Metazoa, Chordata, Mammalia, Rodentia, Heteromyidae. The record is from RefSeq and is a predicted model, not a curated record.
GGGCUGGCUUUGACAGCACAUACACUAAAAUUGGAACGACACAGAGAUUAGCAUGGCUCCUGCACAAGGAUUACAUACAAAUUUGUGAAGCAUUCCAUAUUUUG